RNAcentral lists this unclassified non-coding RNA (280 nucleotides) under Hevea brasiliensis (rubber tree). Lineage: Eukaryota; Viridiplantae; Streptophyta; Magnoliopsida; Malpighiales; Euphorbiaceae. The record is from RNAcentral.
AUUUAUUGUCUUAAUAAUAUUGGCCUUUAUAAUAUUUUUUGCGUGGAUUCGAUAAGUUUAUAAAAAAUAAAAUAAAGGAAGACAAAACAAAUAGAGUCCAAUUUUUACGAAUAGGUCUUUUGAGUAAUGAACAAAUCUCUAUGCAUUUGCUCAUAUAAAAUGGAGUCAACUCCCCAUUGCGUAUUGGUACUUAUCGGGUAUAGAAUAGAUCUGCUUCUCUUUUCUUUGUUCCUACAAACAGAAUUGUUACAUUAUUAUUAUUACUAAAAUAAAAAAAAAA